GAUGAACGCUGGCGGCGUGCUUAACACAUGCAAGUCGAGCGAAGCACCUUGACGGAUUUCUUCGGAUUGAAGCCUUGGUGACUGAGCGGCGGACGGGUGAGUAACGCGUGGGUAACCUGCCUCAUACAGGGGGAUAACAGUUGGAAACGGCUGCUAAUACCGCAUAAGCGCACAGUACCGCAUGGUACGGUGUGAAAAACUCCGGUGGUAUGAGAUGGACCCGCGUCUGAUUAGGUAGUUGGUGGGGUAACGGCCUACCAAGCCGACGAUCAGUAGCCGACCUGAGAGGGUGACCGGCCACAUUGGGACUGAGACACGGCCCAAACUCCUACGGGAGGCAGCAGUGGGGAAUAUUGCACAAUGGGGGAAACCCUGAUGCAGCGACGCCGCGUGAGCGAUGAAGUAUUUCGGUAUGUAAAGCUCUAUCAGCAGGGAAGAAAAUGACG
This 446-nucleotide ribosomal RNA is filed under the name uncultured bacterium. Its description in RNAcentral is "bacterial SSU rRNA". It matches the Rfam family "Bacterial small subunit ribosomal RNA", at positions 28 to 456 of the family's 1533-position model. The record is from RNAcentral.